This is a ribosomal RNA of Danio rerio (zebrafish), 117 nucleotides long. NCBI's taxonomy places the organism in Eukaryota, Metazoa, Chordata, Actinopteri, Cypriniformes, Danionidae. The record is from Ensembl.
AGCCACAGCCGUAUUAACCUGCAGCCCAAAAGUGGUUACUCACUGAAGCUAAGCAGGUCUGAGCCUGGUCAGUACCUGGAUGGGAGACCACUAGGGAAAGCAAGGUUGCUGUUGGAA